AUUGAACGCUGGCGGAGUGCUUUACACAUGCAAGUCGAACGGCAGCACGGACUUCGGUCUGGUGGCGAGUGGCGAACGGGUGAGUAAUGUAUCGGAACGUGCCCAGUCGUGGGGGAUAACGUAGUGAAAAUUACGCUAAUACCGCAUACGAUCUAUGGAUGAAAGCGGGGGAUCGCAAGACCUCGCGCGAUUGGAGCGGCCGAUAUCAGAUUAGGUAUUUGGUGGGGUAAAGGCCCACCAAGCAAAAGAUCUGUCGCUGGUCUGAGAGGACGACCAGCCACACUGGAACUGAGACACGGUCCAUACUCCUACGGCAGGCAGCAGUGGGUAAUUUUGGACAAUGGGCGAAAGCCUGAUCCAGCCAUUCCGCGUGCAGGAUGAAGGCCCUCGGGUUGUAAACUGCUUUUGUACAGAACGAAAAGGUUUCUACUAAUACUAGGAGCUCAUGACGGUACUGUAAGAAUAAGCACCGGCUAACUACGUGCCAGCCGCCGCCGUAA
RNAcentral lists this ribosomal RNA (500 nucleotides) under uncultured bacterium. RNAcentral describes it as "partial 16S ribosomal RNA". It matches the Rfam family "Bacterial small subunit ribosomal RNA", at positions 30 to 523 of the family's 1533-position model. The record is from RNAcentral.